GGAUGUGAGGGUGAUCUGUGACAUCUGUCACUCUUGAUCACCAGAGUUGAUACUGCUGAUCUAAUAUGGCUAAAAGGUACCCUUUUCCUCCCUCACCACUCUGUGUGUCUGUCCCAAAGCUGUGUGCCUAGGAAGAGGAUGACCCCCCCCCAAUAGAGGAAGUUCUUUAGCCAAGAGUAUACAAGUAGUUGUGCUCCCCUGUUAGAACUUCCAAACUAGUCAAUUUAGAAGAAACUGCCAACUUUUCUUGUCUGGAGAGAUGGCUUAGCAUUUAAGAGGACCUG
RNAcentral lists this small nuclear RNA (284 nucleotides) under Nannospalax galili (Upper Galilee mountains blind mole rat). RNAcentral describes it as "7SK RNA (ENSNGAG00000006788.1)". It matches the Rfam family "7SK RNA". Rfam says of the family: 7SK was discovered as an abundant small nuclear RNA in the mid-70s but a possible function has only recently been suggested. Two independent studies have found that 7SK RNA binds the CDK9/cyclin T complex (known as elongation factor P-TEFb). The record is from RNAcentral. Lineage: Eukaryota; Metazoa; Chordata; Mammalia; Rodentia; Spalacidae.